RNAcentral lists this long non-coding RNA (820 nucleotides) under Triticum aestivum (bread wheat). RNAcentral describes it as "long non-coding RNA (TAES_LNC027176)". The record is from RNAcentral. Lineage: Eukaryota; Viridiplantae; Streptophyta; Magnoliopsida; Poales; Poaceae.
UUUUUUUUUUGCAGAAGCGGAAACGAAUACAGAAACCCCGGAAACAAAUACGAAAACAAAUACUACCGGAAACAGACACAGAGCGAAUACAGAGCGGACACGGAAACAAAACAGUUUGUUGACCAGAACUUAAAAUCUCCUUGAAUCGUAGAGAAAUAUAAACAAAAAACAAAUAAAUUUAUGGAAUUGUUAACAUGACUACAAAAUAAUAUGGUUAUGUUAGCAACAUAGGAUAGUAUUGUAGGAGUACAUGACAAUCCCGUAUAGGGUCUAGUUGAGUACGUGUAUGGUAGUAAAAGGUAUAGGGUCUAGUUGAGUACGUGUAUGGUAGUAAAAGAUGGUCCUUAGAUGAUCAAUUCUGCUCAUUCUACCCAUUGUGUCAUUGUGUGUUCUUUGGUAGUUGGGCUACCUAUAGUAGAAACGGAAAUUCCAUAUUUACGAAAACGGAGAGUUCCGUUUCCACGUCUGUUCCACCGGAAAACACCGUUCUGUUAUUGUUUCCGUUUCUGCAUAAAAAAAUCCAUUUCCAUUUCCGUUUUGCAAAUUUCCAUUUUCGUUUCCAUAUUUCCUCUCUGUUUCCAUUUUUGGCCCGGAAAAGCGGAAACUUUCCACUCCAUUUUCAUCCCUAUCGGUACUGCAAAAUAGUUUUAGGGUUCCCCCUAAAACGAUUUUGUGGGAACUAGAAGGUCCCGGCAGAAUAGAUCCGCUAUAGUCCGUACUGCAAAUUUAAAAACUAAUUCGCGCUACAAAUUUCACAACACAACCGGAGUUCAUACAUAGCUUAAAACAUAGAUCAAACUACAAAUUAAACCUAGGGAAG